Molecule: ribosomal RNA, 503 nt
Filed under: Yarrowia lipolytica
Lineage: Eukaryota; Fungi; Ascomycota; Dipodascomycetes; Dipodascales
Description: LSU rRNA
Rfam family: Eukaryotic large subunit ribosomal RNA
Source: RNAcentral
AAACAACAGGGAUUGCUCAGUAACGGCGAGUGAAGCGGCAAAAGCUCAAAUUUGAAACCCUCGGGAUUGUAAUUUGAAGAUUUGGCAUUGGAGAAAGCUAACCCAAGUUGCUUGGAAUAGUACGUCAUAGAGGGUGACAACCCCGUCUGGCUAACCGUUCUCCAUGUAUUGCCUUAUCAAAGAGUCGAGUUGUUUGGGAAUGCAGCUCAAAGUGGGUGGUAAACUCCAUCUAAAGCUAAAUACUGGUGAGAGACCGAUAGCGAACAAGUACUGUGAAGGAAAGGUGAAAAGAACUUUGAAAAGAGAGUGAAAUAGUAUGUGAAAUUGUUGAUAGGGAAGGAAAUGAGUGGAGAGUGGCCGAGGUUUCAGCCGCCCCUCGUGGGCGGUGUACUGCCGACGCCGAGUCAUCGAUAGCGAGACGAGGGUUACAAAUGGGAGCGCCUUCGGGCGUUCUCCCCUAACCCUCCACACUGCCACCGACGACAUAAUCCACCCAUUUCUGU